CCUACGGGAGGCAGCAGUGGGGAAUAUUGCACAAUGGGCGCAAGCCUGAUGCAGCCAUGCCGCGUGUGUGAAGAAGGCCUUCGGGUUGUAAAGCACUUUCAGCGGGGAGGAAGGCGGUGAGGUUAAUAACCUCAUCGAUUGACGUUACCCGCAGAAGAAGCACCGGCUAACUCCGUGCCAGCAGCCGCGGUAAUACGGAGGGUGCAAGCGUUAAUCGGAAUUACUGGGCGUAAAGCGCACGCAGGCGGUCUGUCAAGUCGGAUGUGAAAUCCCCGGGCUCAACCUGGGAACUGCAUUCGAAACUGGCAGGCUAGAGUAUUGUAGAGGGGGGUAGAAUUCCAGGUGUAGCGGUGAAAUGCGUAGAGAUCUGGAGGAAUACCGGUGGCGAAGGCGGCCCCCUGGACAAAGACUGACGCUCAGGUGCGAAAGCGUGGGGAGCAAACAGGAUUAGAUACCCUUGUAGUC
This 465-nucleotide ribosomal RNA is filed under the name uncultured Klebsiella sp. Its description in RNAcentral is "bacterial SSU rRNA". It matches the Rfam family "Bacterial small subunit ribosomal RNA", at positions 338 to 795 of the family's 1533-position model. The record is from RNAcentral. Lineage: Bacteria; Pseudomonadati; Pseudomonadota; Gammaproteobacteria; Enterobacterales; Enterobacteriaceae.